Molecule: long non-coding RNA, 200 nt
Filed under: Gossypium barbadense (sea-island cotton)
Lineage: Eukaryota; Viridiplantae; Streptophyta; Magnoliopsida; Malvales; Malvaceae
Description: long non-coding RNA (GBAR_LNC019140)
Source: RNAcentral
GUGGGUCGACUCUAUCCCCACAUGGUGUGUUGGGUUGGUACGGGUGGUGUGUUGGCUGGAUUGGGAUGGGUUUGCAUACUUGCACCAAACUGAUACUGUAUCGGGCUUAGGCCCAUACUGUUUCUGUAUUGGGCUAAGGCCCACACUGUACUAUUACUGUUAAAGGGCUCUGGGCUAAACUGAUUUUGUUUUGUAUGCCG